Molecule: long non-coding RNA, 358 nt
Filed under: Olea europaea (common olive)
Lineage: Eukaryota; Viridiplantae; Streptophyta; Magnoliopsida; Lamiales; Oleaceae
Description: long non-coding RNA (OEUR_LNC002101)
Source: RNAcentral
AAUUAAGAAAAAGAUGUCAAUUUCUUUACAGUCUACAGGGGUAAAACCGUAAUUAAGAAAAAGAUGACUUCAACCUUGGUUAUUUUGAGCAGUAGCAAAAUUCUUCAGUUUAUUGGAUGAGUUUCAUGAAGCUUCUAGCUGCCAUUUCAUAGAAAAACUUUCAAAAAAGAAACCCACAGAUGAAUUGUUUGUUGGGAUUUAGACCAAAAAGAUUGGAAACCCUGUAAGUAUACAAAGUAACUCAAUAAGGUCGAAGAAAAUCUAAAAAGAAAAAAGGAUGAUUAAAAACCUGUGGAAGACGUCCAACAAUAUCAAUGCCGUAUUUUCAUAUAAACAAGAUCCCAUCCAUCCCCAAAGU